RNAcentral lists this ribosomal RNA (440 nucleotides) under uncultured bacterium. Its description in RNAcentral is "partial 16S ribosomal RNA". It matches the Rfam family "Bacterial small subunit ribosomal RNA", at positions 338 to 795 of the family's 1533-position model. The record is from RNAcentral.
CCUACGGGUGGCAGCAGUGGGGGAUAUUGCACAAUGGGGGGAACCCUGAUGCAGCGACGCCGCGUGGGUGAAGAAGGGCCUCGGCGCGUAAAGCCCUGUCAGCAGGGAAGAAAAUGACGGUACCUGAAGAAGAAGCCCCGGCUAACUACGUGCCAGCAGCCGCGGUAAUACGUAGGGGGCAAGCGUUAGCCGGAUUUACUGGGUGUAAAGGGGGCGCAGCCGGCCUUGCAAGCCAGGAGUGAAAGCCCGGGGCUCAACCCCGGGACUGCUCUUGAAACUGCGGGGCUGGAGGGCAGGAGGGGCAAGCGGACUUCCUGGUGUAGCGGUGAAAUGCGUAGAUAUCAGGAGGAACACCAGUGGCGAAGGCGGCCUGCUGGACUGCAACUGACGUUGAGGCCCGAAAGCGUGGGGAGCAAACAGGAUUAGAUACCCCUGUAGUC